RNAcentral lists this ribosomal RNA (446 nucleotides) under uncultured bacterium. RNAcentral describes it as "SSU rRNA". It matches the Rfam family "Bacterial small subunit ribosomal RNA", at positions 26 to 518 of the family's 1533-position model. The record is from RNAcentral.
AGAGCGAACGCUGGCGGCAGGCUUAACACAUGCAAGUCGAGCGGGCGUAGCAAUACGUCAGCGGCAGACGGGUGAGUAACGCGUGGGAACAUACCUUUUGGUUCGGAACAACACAGGGAAACUUGUGCUAAUACCGGAUAAGCCCUUACGGGGAAAGAUUUAUCGCCGAAAGAUUGGCCCGCGUCUGAUUAGCUAGUUGGUGAGGUAAUGGCUCACCAAGGCGACGAUCAGUAGCUGGUCUGAGAGGAUGAUCAGCCACAUUGGGACUGAGACACGGCCCAAACUCCUACGGGAGGCAGCAGUGGGGAAUAUUGGACAAUGGGCGCAAGCCUGAUCCAGCCAUGCCGCGUGAGUGAUGAAGGCCCUAGGGUUGUAAAGCUCUUUGUGCGGGAAGAUAAUGACGGUACCGCAAGAAUAAGCCCGGCUAACUUCGUGCCAGCAGCCGC